This 10350-nucleotide long non-coding RNA is filed under the name Prunus persica (peach). RNAcentral's name for it is "long non-coding RNA (PPER_LNC006176)". The stretch from base 8579 to 8685 matches the Rfam family "Plant small nucleolar RNA R71". The record is from RNAcentral. Lineage: Eukaryota; Viridiplantae; Streptophyta; Magnoliopsida; Rosales; Rosaceae.
UUGUUGUUAAAAUGUUAACUCGCAAUUGUACGGGCCAAUUAGUAGUAUAGCAAGACAAGUACGAGGUCGUACCCACGAGGACUGAGAAGUUAAAAUUAGUUAUGUACUUAGAUUACCAAAUUCAAGAAAGUAGGAGGUUAAGUCUAAAAUAGAAUUUAAAGCAAGAGUGAUUGUAAUUGUUGAACAAAUGAGGCAAAACGAAAUUUCAAACAAAAGCAAAGUGAACAAAUGUAACAAAGAGUACUUUUGUAGGCUGGAAAACAGAUUGGGAGACUAGGGCAUUCGAUUCACCAUAAAAAUUCAAUUCUGGGUUAUAAGGAGUCAAGUGACAAGUCUCAUUCGAAUUCAAAGAUUGAUUCUAGCUAAAGUAUGAUUAGGCCAUGGUGUUUGGUCCUAACCCUGUGCUCCUAAUUCCCUAACUUGAUCAUUUGUUGUCUAAUCUAAAUUAAGCAUUAGGAACCCAUUAAGCAUAGAAGAACAAUUUAAACAACCAAGCAUGUAUCUAAUCCCUGUUGUCGAAUGUCCAUACAUACUUUUCUUAUUCAUAGUUCAAUUCAAAUCAAAGCAUGGUGUCUACUCUUGAUUCAAACCAAGGUAGCUAAUAUACAAGUUCUAAUGGUGAUCAAUCAUCCAAACAAGCAUAUUAACUGAUAAGCAUAAAGAAUAGGAAUAUGAAUCAUGAAUCAAACUUGAAACUCAAAACUUCAACUUAUAAACCCAGAAUAUUCAUGUUAGGUUACAUCAUAGCCCUAGUUAUGAAUUUAGCUACUCAUAAUGGAAAUGGAACUUAAGCAAAAAUGAGAAAACAUAUUGAAUGCAAUAAGAGUAGAGAAACCCAAUUCUGAAGUUGCUUGUGGUUUCCAAGGCUUCUCCAGGUGCUUCUCCACAUCUAAUGCUACUCCAAGAACUUUCUCAUGUCUAGAGUAUGGCAACUAAAGAGGUGAUUUGGGAUGAGUUUGGGUGGUUGGUGAUGGCAGAGAAAGAACAAAUUCGUAGGAAAUGGAAGGAAGGCUUGUUGGAGUUGUUCCUAGGACAGCUCCAAGGUCCCUUGACAGCUCCAAGCUCCCUUCUCUCUUUGUGGUGAAUCUGAAUGUGUGUAUGAGAGUAAUGGAUGAAGUGAAUGUGUGUGUCUACCCUCCUUUCUUGAAUGAGUGUGCAACUCUCUAUUUAUAGAGUGCAAUUUCGUGCUCCCCUUUGGCUGGUGAAACACACCUCUCUUAGCUGCUCCCAAUUGCCUAAGCUGCCCAAUAAAUGCCAACUCUUCCAGCUGCCCAAUAAAUGCUUUGGUGGAAUUUUCUUGGUUUCUUUAUGGAAAGCUUGACUUUUAUUCAUCUUUUUGACUUCCCAUACUGAUUUGUCUCCCAUGUGUAGCCUACCAGAAUUCCUGGCAAAUGGUCCUUGAUUUGUGCAGACAAGAUCCCCAUAAUUAAGCAUGCCAUGUUUUGCUCCUUUAUGACUUCCAUAGCUGAAAUGCCUCCCUAAUUUGUUCAACAUGUCAGGUCCAAAGUCAAAUAAUGCUCAAGUGAGGCACAUGGCUCAAGGGAGGUGUGGAGCACAAGGCUCACCAGUUGGCAGCUACAUAUUAAAAUCCUCCUAGAGCAUGGUUCAGUGUUUGACAGGCUAAGGACUCUAGCUAUCAUUAAUUGGGCUGAUAUGUGGAUAUGUUAUACUAGACACCUAUUGGAACAACUUCUGUGAAGCAUGUCUCCUCAUCCAAGCAGUGUAGGUUGCUGAAAUGAGGCCUGCAAGAUGACCCACGAAUUUGGACUGACAAGGAGUGUGGCCCAAAUUGGUUCUGUCAUUAAGCUCAUAUUCCUCUUGUGCCAAUCAACCCUUAACAUGCAUGAAUUGUAUCAAAUGUGAUCCCCUUGCUGUCCUAACCUACAAAACACACAAACAUAGGUAAGAGACUCAAAAUAAAAAGAAACUAAACAAAAUUACUAAGCAAAGAAGGCAUGCAAAUGUGUGAAAUUAUGACCUUAUCAUACCCCCAGACCUAGAUUUUGCUAGUCCUCGAGCAAAACAAAAGAGAAUAAAGUUGAAAACAAAACAAGAAGUUAACUAAACCACUUCUGUAGGUAACUUGAUUGCAAUGUGCAUAUGCAACAAGUCUUUAAACCUCUCGGCAUCCCUAAUCGGAAGAGUUGUGUCUCCUGAGGGUUUAACAGAAACGAUACCCACAAACGCUUUACUGACUCUCUAACACCAAAAGGUUAGAAAACUAACUUUGAAAACAACUAAUGAAAGAAAACUUUAAUCAUGCAUCCAACACCAUAGAGUUACCAAGAUAGAUGAUCAAUAAGUGUGUAAAUUGGAAGCUAUAGCUCAAAGGCACACGGCUUCAAAGUAAACAGACUCAAAUCUUGAAGGAAGAACAUGCUUCAACUCUAAUUCUCACAUCUAGCACUCAAUCACUCAGAACCUAUGGUUUUAUUCUCUCAAACAAGCAUAAGUGAGUAUAUGAAAUACAAGCACAAUAUUUGGUUAGAUCUCAUGAAGGGAAUCAAAUACUAAGAGUAGAGAUACACACAUACAUACCAGCACCCAUGAAUACAUCCUCAAAGAUCAGCUAGGUCUUUCACAAGGUUGUAAUGAAAGGCUAAGGUUAAGGGAAGUGGAAGAAUUGGAAGGAACACAACUAACUUAAGAACAUACCAAGGUUGCAUUCUUCAUUGAUCUGCAAGGUAUCAUUGAUUUAGAAUGGUAUGGCUGCAACUUCAUAGCAUCAUCUGGCAUAGACUUUAUAUUUCACAUUUAGAUCAAAUCGAAACACUUUCUCUUUAUCUUUCUUUUUUUCUUUUUUUUUUGACUUGAUCUACUUCUUCUUUAACUUUAUUGCAUAGAUUCACACCAAUUUACAUUUGGGCAUGUGGCAGCAACCUCCUUGCUUCAAACUUUAUCUUCGCACACCUUGGUAUAUUUCUAAGCUAUAGGGUAUGGCUAUAAUAGGUUAAAUAUCUCUGAUUGAGAUACAAAGUUAGGGGAAUUAUGAGGGUGAUAGAAGAAAAAGGCUUGUAGUGUUUGGCUGCAAGAGAGCUGAUGGAACACACGAAUGGGUAGGGUGAAAAGAAAGCACAGAAAAUGGUUAUACACGCAGAGCCUAGCAUCACUUCAAUGAGUUCAUUCAUGGGUGAGAGCACGCACCUGAUAUCUGCAAAGAGAAUCAUCCUUAGUAUUCAAUCAAAAUGGAACAAUGAGAUCAUUUAGAGUGAAUUGAAGAAAAUAAGUAGAGAUGAGGAAUAGAAACACUUUAAACCCUCUCAAGAAAGCAAUUAGGCUCGAAAUAGCUCACUAGGGUAGUCUCCACUAUUCUCCUUCAAGAAUCUGAGCAUGAUACUUUAGUCACCAGAAUUCUAAGAGCAAAAGCUUUGUGAAGUGUAAAAUUUCUGAUAUGAAAAUCUCAAUGGCAGCUCCAUAGCAUUGGUUGUAUGAAAUUUUUUUUAUAAAAAAAAAAAUAGUGACAAGCGAACGAAAAUUGUAAACACAAAUGAACAAAAAUUGAAAACCUCCCCCCCAGACCUGAAUUGAACAUUGUCCUCAAUGUUAAAGCAUAACAAAGAUGAGUGAGAACAUGUGAAUAAUAAGGGGAAAGUUUAAGACAAAGUAUUAGAGAAACUCCCUCUUGAUGCGAUUAGGUCGACCGCUACCGAGCACCUUAUUCUUCAACACAUGGGUUGCCUCCCAAGAAGCGCCUUAGUUAAUGUCUUGGCAAGACAUUAUGCCAUUAGCUAACUUGAUUGUACGAAGGGAAGAUGAUCCACCACAUGACCAGUUUGAAUUCCAACUGACACUCCCUCAUAGAAUGGCUUUAAACGUUGUCCAUUUACUUUGAAAGUCGAGCCAUCUUUAGGAUUUUGAAUCUCCACAGCUCCAUAGGGAGAUACAUUGACCACGGUGAAUGGGCCAAGCCACCUAGACUUCAAUUUUCCUGGAAAGAGACGCAAACGUGAGUUAAACAAAAGAACUGACAUACCUUUGGUGAAUUCUUUCCGUUGAAUGUUCCUGUCAUGGUAACUCUUGGUACGUUCUUUGUAUAGCUUUGCAUUCUCAUAGGACUCAUAUCGAAUUUCUUCCAAUUCAUUGAGCUGAAACUUUCUAACAUGGCCGGCCUUGUCCAGAUCAAAAUUCAACUUCUUGAUGGCCCAAAAAGCAUUGUGUUCAAGCUCCAUUGGCAAGUGACAGGCUUUUCCAAACACAAGACGAUAAGGGCUCAUUCCGAUGGGAGUCUUAUAUGCAGUCCUAUAAGCCCAUAAUGCAUCAUUGAGCUUGGCAGCCCAAUCUUUCCUUGUACUAUUCACCACUUUCUCUAGGAUCUGCUUAAUUUCUCUGUUGCUUAUUUCUACUUGACUAGAAGUUUGAGGAUGAUAUGGUGUAGAGACUCGGUGGGUGAUAUUGUACUUCUUCAUGAGUGCUUCAAAUAGCUUGUUGCAGAAGUGGCUGCCUCCAUCACUAAUGACAGCCCUUGGAGUACCAAACCUUGUGAAAAUAUUGUCCCUCAAGAACUUCAGGACCACCUUAUGAUCAUUGGUUUUGGUGGCUAUGGCUUUCACCCAUUUAGACACAUAAUCAACAGCAACAAGUAUGUAGGUAUAACCAAAGGAAGAUGGGAAUGGUCCCAUGAAAUCAAUACCCCAUACAUCGAAGAGUUCCACAAAGAGUAUGUUCUUCAAUGGCAGUUCGUUCCUGCGGCUUAUGUUUCCCAUCCUUUGACACCUAUCACACUUAACACAAAAAUUAAAUGCAUCUUUGAAUAGAGUAGGCCAAAAGAAACCUGAUUGCAAAAUUUUAAGUGCUGUUUUCUUGGCUCCAAAGUGGCCUCCACAAGCCAAUUCGUGGCUAUGCCUAAGGAUGCUUUCUUGUUCUUCUUCUGGAACACAUCUUCUAAUGAGUUGAUCUGGGCAAUGCUUGAAUAAGAAAGGUUCAUCCCAGACAUAAUGUUUCACCAUGGAAAAGAACUUCUUUUUGUCCUGAUAAGUUAGAUCAUUUCUAAGAACACCACAAGCAAGAUAAUUAACAAAAUCAGCAUACCAUGGCUCUUUGACUUGGGCAACAUAUAGUUGUUCAUCUGGGAAAGUCUCAUUCAAUGGUAGUACAGCUUCUCCUUGCUCUUCAACCACAAUUCUGCUCAAAUGGUCAGCCACCACAUUUUCACAUCCCUUCUUGUCUCGAAUCUCCAAAUCGAACUCUUGCAGCAAGAGAAUCCAUCUGAUCAAGCGAGGUUUGGCGUCCUUCUUAGCGAGCAAGUAUCUAAGAGCAGCAUGGUAAGAAUAAACAAUUACUUUAGAACCAACAAGGUAAGGGCGAAAUUUUUCUAAAGCAAAAACCACAGCAAGCAACUCCUUUUCGGUUGUGGAGUAAUUGAGUUGGGCAUUAUUCAAGGUCCGGCUCGCAUAAUGAAUCACAUGGGGAAGCUUGUUCUUCUUUUGACCUAAAACUGCACCAAUAGCAAAGUCAGAGGCAUCACACAUUAUUUCAAAUGGUAAAGACCAAUCUGGAGCUAUGAUAAUAGGGGCUGAAGUUAGCUCUUUCUUCAAAGUCGUAAAGGCUUCCAUGCAAAUCUCGUCAAACUCAAAAACAGCAUCCUUAGCAAGGAGAUUACACAAUGGUCUUGAAAUGCUUGAAAAAAAUUUUAUGAACCUUCUAUAGAAUCCGGCAUGGCCCAGAAAGCUUCUAACUCCUUUAACAGAGGAAGGGGGUGGUAGAUUUGUGAUGAUAUUUAUCUUGGCUUGUCCACUUGAAUUCCCUUGUUUGAAACAACAUGGCCUAGCACAAUUCCUUGUCUUACCAUGAAGUGACACUUCUCCCAAUUCAAAAUCAGAUUUGUUUCCUGACAUCUUGUAAGCACUAGAGACAAGUGGUGAAGACAAUCAUCAAAAGAUGAACCAAAAACUGAAAAAUCAUCCAUAAAUACCUCCAUGAAUCGUUCCACCAUAUCAGAAAAGAUUGCCAUCAUGCAUCUUUGGAAAGUUGCUGGAGCAUUGCACAAACCAAAUGGCAUCCUUCUAUAAGCAAAUGUACCAAAUGGGCAUGUGAACGUGGUUUUCUCCUGGUCUUCCGGAGCAAUGGGAAUUUGAUUAUAACCUGAAAAUCCAUCAAGAAAACAGUAGUAAGCAUGGCCAGAUAAACGGUCAAGCAUUUGAUCAAUAAAAGGCAAGGGAAAAUGAUCUUUUCUCGUGGAUGUGUUCAACUUCCUGUAAUCAAUGCAAACUCUCCAACCAGUGAUAGUGUGUGUUGGAACUAGCUCAUUCUUCUCAUUCUUUACAACGGUGAUUCCGGACUUCUUUGGAACCACUUGCACAGGACUCACCCACUUAGAAUCUGAAAUUGGGUAGAUGAUUCCCACAUCAAGUAGCUUUAAAACUUCAGCCCUAACCACCUCUUUCAUAUUGGGAUUUAGCCUCCUUUGUGCAUCACGAGAUGGUUUGCUGUCUUCUUCCAUUAAAAUUCGGUGCAUGCACAUGCUUGGACUAAUUCCUUUGAUGUCUGCUAUGGUCCAUCCAAGGGCUGUUUCAUGUUCUUUCAGAACUUCAAUUAACCUGUCCUCUUCAUGUGAAGUGAGACUUGCAGCAAUUAUAACAGGGAGAGUUUCAUUAGCACCCAAAUAAGUAUAUUUAAGAUGAUUGGGUAGAGGUUUAAGUUCUAGCUUUGGUGGGGUGAUAAUGGAUGGCUCCAAUUUUGUGGAGGAUGACACAAGAGGCUCAAGUGGUGGCCUAAAGGAUGGUGGGUAUGGCUGAAACACUUCUAAGGCAGCCAUCACUUCUUGGAACUCUGAUUCAAAGAGAUCUUCCUCUUCUUGUGUUAGGACCGCUUCCAAAGCAUCAUUAGACUUUUUCUGCACAAUUUUAGAAGAAACCUCAUGAUCCACAACAUCAAUUGAAAAACAAGUAUCAAGAGUGAUAGAAGGUUGAGACAGAGCAUCAAACACUUUAAAUUCAACAGUUUCACCCAAAACAGUCAUGGAGAGGGUGCCAUCUUUCACUUUGAUGAUUGUGUCUGCAGUGGCCAUGAAUGGUCGCCCGAGGAGAAUGGGAUCAACACGGUCUUCAUAUGGGNNNNNNNNNNNNNNNNNNNNNNNNNNNNNNNNNNNNNNNNNNNNNNNNNNNNNNNNNNNNNNNNNNNNNNNNNNNNNNNNNNNNNNNNNNNNNNNNNNNNGAAUGAGUGUAUUAACUUGAACUAAAAUAUCUUCUACAAUACCUUUUGGAUAUUUGAUAGAAUGAUCAGCUAGUUCAAGACGAAUUGAGGUUUUCUUUAUCCCUUCUAAGCCAAGCGCCUGAUAAACUGAAUAUGGCAUUACAUUGAUGCUUGCUCCCAAGUCCAACAUGGCUCUUCCAACCGUCUUAUCUCCGAUGUUAAUGGGAAUGUUAAAGCUGCCAGGAUCUUCUAGUUUUGGUGGAAGCUUCCUUUGCAACACAGCACUCACAUUCUUGUUGAGCUUUACUUCUUCACUUGGAGUAAAAUUGAGCUUGUGAGUCAUCAAGUGCUUGAUGAACUUUCCAUAUGCAGGAAUCUGUUUAAAAACAUCAAGCAAGGGCAAAUUGAUAUUAACUUUACUCAAAAUAUCAUAAAUCUCUUUAAAAGCCUUAUCUUGAUUUGCUUUCUUCAAUCGGCCUGGAAAUGGAAUCGGUGGAAUAUAUGGAGGAGGUGGGAUGUAUCUAUCUUGAUGAAGAUGUGAUGGCACAAAUUUGUCAUCUCUUUUAUGCAAUUGAAAUGGAUUGGGUUCCUGAGAAUCAGAUUUGGCCUUAGGAGUAGAUUGGGACGUUUUGGGUUGUUCUCCUUCCAUAGCUGUGGUUUCUUCUUCAUCUUCAUCCUCUACAACCACAACAUCAUUUGAUAGAUCAGAACCAACUUUGUUAUCAACAAUCUUACCUGAUCUGAGCACAUGAACGGCCUUGGCUUCUUGGUUUUUUUGGAUUGAUCACGGUUUGACUUGGCCAUUUCCCAGGUUCUCUUUGAGCUAUUUCAGUAGCUAUCUGGCCCAAUUGGACUUCCAACUUGGAGAUGGCAGCUUGUGUUGUUUGCUGGAAAUUGUUUUGGUUGAUUGCCAUUUGCUUCACUAAAUCCUCCAACGAUGAUGAUUGUUGUGGCCUUUGGAGUGAAGGGGGAUUCGCUUGAUUCUGUGUAUUCCUCCAUGAAAAGUUUGGAUGAUUCCUCCAACCUGGAUUAUAUCUUUGAGAAUAUGGGUCAUUUAUUGGACCUCGGUUGUAGGAAUUCACCAACUUAGCUUGCUCUUGCACAAAUUCUGGAUAUGCAGCCCCAAAGGGACAAGAAAUGGUAGGAUGAUCAUGAGUUUCACAGAUGCUACACACUUCCUUCAAAGGGUCUUGAGUUCAAUGCAAGGAGGGCAUCUAGCUUUUGUUCCAAUUUGGAAAUCUGUACACUAGAAGAAUCAUUAGAACCACCAGCAAUACGUUUACCUCUUGUAUCGGUGUGUUGGGUCUCCAUUGCUAUCUCCUCAAAGAGUUCAUAUGUUUCUUCUGGAGUUUUAGUCUUAUAAGAACCACCUGCAAAAUUAGUGACAAUAUUAUGGCUAGAGGGGGUUAGUCCUUUAUAAAACAUACGCAUCUGAAGCUUCAAUGGAAUCCCAUGAUGAGGGCAUUGAUUGAGCAGCCCGUUGAAUCUCUCCCAUGCUUCACAAAACGACUCAUCAUCUUGUUGUGCAAAUAGAAAGAUCUUGUCCCUAAGCAUGUCGGUUUUUUGCGUGGAGAAAUAUUUCUCCAAGAACUUCUUUUGAAUGGCUCCCCAAGUCAUGAGUGAACCAGGCUUCAAAGAAUUCAACCAAUAUUUCGCCUUAUCUUUCAAAGUGUAAGGAAACACUCUCAUUCGAAGUUGCUCUUCCGUCACACCUGUCAAGGGAAAAGAGCUCACAACAUUAAAAAUAUCCUUUAUAUGAGUUAAUGGAUCUUCAUUAGGUAAACCAUAAAAAGAAAGGAGCAUAUUAAGAUGAGAAGAUUUAAGCUCACAGUUUCGAGCUGCGGUGGGCAGCAAGAUGCUUGAAGGGGAUGCUGGAAUUGUUGGGAUAUCAAGGUCUCCCAUGAACUCAUUGGCAGCCAUCUCUUCUUCUUCUUGGUCUGAACUUGAUUCCGAAUUUGAAGGUGAAGACCCUGGGAGGUCAGUGUGGAUAGCAAGACCUUCACUUGUUCAAGGAAAGGAUUACUAGACAUAAACUACCUGAAACAGAAAAUAAUUUGAGUUAAUUAAUACUUCUAAAAGAAUGGGGUAACCUUGGGCACAUAACCAGGGAAGAACUUUCAUUCAGUCCCCGGCAACGGCGCCAAAAUUAGUUGUUAAAAUGUUAACUCGCAAUUGUACGGGCCAAUUAGUAGUAUAGCAAGACAAGUACGAGGUCGUACCAACGAGGACUGAGAAGUUAAAAUUAGUUAUGUACUUAGAUUACCAAAUUCAAGAAAGUAGGAGGUUAAGUCUAAAAUAGAAUUUAAAGCAAGAGUGAUUGUAAUUGUUGAACAAAUGAGGCAAAACGAAAUUUCAAACAAAAGCAAAGUGAACAAAUGUAAGAAAGAGUACUUUUGUAGGCUGAAAAACAGAUUGGGAGACUAGGGCAUUCGAUUCACCAUAACAAUUCAAUUCUGGGUUAUAAGGAGUCAAGUGACAAGUCUCAUUCGGAUUCAAAGAUUGAUUCUAGCUAAAGUAUGAUUAGGCCAUGGUGUCUGGUCCUAACCUUGUGCUCCUAAUUCCCUAACUUGAUCAUUUGUUGUCUAAUUUAAAUUAAGCAUUAGGAACCCAUUAAGCAUAGAAGAACAAUUUAAACAACCAAGCAUGUAUCUAAUCCCUGUUGUCGAAUGUCCAUACACACUUUUCUUAUUCAUAGUUCAAUUCAAAUCAAAGCAUGGUGUCUACUCUUGAUUCAAACCAAGGUAGCUAAUAUACAAGUUCUAAUGGUGAUCAAUCAUCCAAACAAGCAUAUUAACUGAUAAGCAUAAAGAAUAGGAAUAUGAAUCAUGAAUCAAACUUCAAACUCAAAACUUCAACUUAUAAACCCAGAAUAUUCAUGUUAGGUUACAUCAUAGCCCUAGUUAUGAAUUUAGCUACUCAUAAUGGAAAUGGAACUUAAGCAAAAAUGAGAACACAUAUUGAAUGCAAUAAGAGUAGAGAAACCCAAUUCUGAAGUUGCUUGUGGUUUCCAAGGCUUCUCCAGGUGCUUCUCCACGUCUAAUGCUACUCCAAGCACUUUCUCAUGUCUAGAGUAUGGCAACUAAAGAGGUGAUUUGGGAUGAGUUUGGGUGGUUGGUGAUGGCAGAGAAAGAACAAAUUCGUAGGAAAUGGAAGGAAGCACUUUCUCAUGUCUAGAGUAUGGCAACUAAAGAGGUGAUUUGGGAUGAGUUUGGGUGGUUG